RNAcentral lists this ribosomal RNA (441 nucleotides) under uncultured bacterium. RNAcentral's name for it is "partial 16S ribosomal RNA". It matches the Rfam family "Bacterial small subunit ribosomal RNA", at positions 338 to 795 of the family's 1533-position model. The record is from RNAcentral.
CCUACGGGAGGCUGCAGUCGGGAAUAUUGCUCAAUGGAGGGAACUCUGACGCAGUGACGCCGCGUGCAGGAAGACGGUUUUCCGAUUUUAAACUGCUUUAUACAGGGAAGAAAAGAGACAGUCCCUGUAGAAUAAGCUCCGGCUAACUACGUGCCGGCAGACUCGGUAAUACGGAGGGAGCGCGCUUUAUCCGGAUGUAUUGGGUGUAAAGGGUGCGUAGACGGAGAAGCAAGUGAGGUGUGAAAUCCCUGGGCUUAACUGAGGAAUUGCAGCUAAAACUACUUCGCUUGAGUACUAGUGAGGCAAGUGGAAUUCGUAGUGUAGCGGUGAAAUGCGUAGAGAUGAGGAGGAACCCCAGUGGCGAAGGCGACUUUCUGGAGAGGAACUGACGCUGAGGCUCGAAAGCGCGGGGAGCGAACAGGAUUAGAUACCCUGGUAGUC